CAAAGGUGAGAAACCCAACCAGGAAGUAAACAAUAAUGGCGAUGACUUCAAGAAAAAUAGUUUAUAAUGUUUUAAAAGUCUUUCUUCUUUUCUUUAUUCAACAAACACUUUGUGAGACACCCACCACUAGUUUAUAUUUAUCCCAGAAGUUAUCGGAGGACGGGUAUGGGAUCGAUAUGAGAAGUGUCACCCCCACCAAGUCGUCAACUCAACAGGCAAGACUGCACCCGGGGGUCAUUGCAGCAGUGAUAUUUGUUACAUUGGCUGCAGUUCUUGCUGCAGUUUUUAUCAUCAGAAAAUACUGCUUUCCCCGCAGUGAGGCCACAUACAGAUACUCAGUGCUGAGGCGGAUGGAGGCUGAGGGGUCAGGAUAUGGGACUGAGGAGGAG
Molecule: long non-coding RNA, 389 nt
Organism: Coregonus clupeaformis (lake whitefish)
Lineage: Eukaryota; Metazoa; Chordata; Actinopteri; Salmoniformes; Salmonidae
Exons: 3
Source: RefSeq, a predicted model, not a curated record